AUGGGAAAUCCUCCGUCACCACACAGCUGCUUCAGCGUAAUUCUGCUUUACAUGACCGUAACCUGCUCGGAAAUGAAUGAAAACCACUGCCUGUUAGGGAUGGCAGGAAGAAGCAAGGAAAUGAGGGCACCGCGUCACAACCAAGACCUUCCUAACAGAAUUGGUGCUGGAAAUCAAUUUGGCCGGGCCACAAGGUACAACAGCCGUAUUGAAUUGUCCACCAAGCUGCUUGAACCAACCAAGACCUUCCUAACCAAAUUAAUGCGUAACAAAGGAAGCUGCUUCUUAACUCUCUAG
Molecule: ribosomal RNA, 297 nt
Filed under: Triticum aestivum (bread wheat)
Lineage: Eukaryota; Viridiplantae; Streptophyta; Magnoliopsida; Poales; Poaceae
Description: partial small subunit ribosomal RNA
Source: RNAcentral